Molecule: ribosomal RNA, 468 nt
Filed under: uncultured bacterium
Lineage: Bacteria
Description: partial 16S ribosomal RNA
Rfam family: Bacterial small subunit ribosomal RNA
Source: RNAcentral
GACGAACGCUGGCGGCGUGCUUAACACAUGCAAGUCGAACGGAAAGGCCCUGCUUUUGUGGGGUGCUCGAGUGGCGAACGGGUGAGUAACACGUGAGUAACCUGCCCUCGACUUUGGGAUAACUUCAGGAAACUGGGGCUAAUACCGGAUAGGAGCUCCUGCUGCAUGGUGGGGGUUGGAAAGUGUCGGCGGUUGGGGAUGGACUCGCGGCUUAUCAGCUUGUUGGUGGGGUAGUGGCUUACCAAGGCUUUGACGGGUAGCCGGCCGGAGAGGGUGACCGGCCACAUUGGGACUGAGAUACGGCCCAGACUCCUACGGGAGGCAGCAGUGGGGAAUAUUGCACAAUGGGCGGAAGCCUGAUGCAGCAACGCCGCGUGCGGGAUGACGGCCUUCGGGUUGUAGACCGCUUUCGCCUGUGACGAAGCGUGAGUGACGGUAAUGGGUAAAGAAGCACCGGCUAACUACGUG